Paramuricea clavata is the source of this 829-nucleotide non-coding RNA. The record is from the annotation of a GenBank genome assembly. Lineage: Eukaryota; Metazoa; Cnidaria; Anthozoa; Malacalcyonacea; Plexauridae.
GUUCGAAGUUGGAGCAACUUGUGCAUAAAAAUUGGACUAUGAUUUAGCUACUUUAAUUUAGCUAAUAAAGGAAUAAAGAUCGACCUUUUCUGCCGUAAAGGUCAACCUUAAAAUAUUAUCAAAUUGUAUACUGGUAUCCCAAAAAACACCGGACUCUGUUUGAUCUAAUGUCACGUAAAAGCUAUAAAAGCUAUCGCAGAUUCGCAAUGAAAUAAAGAUCAUUGCAUUCAUAAUGGCUAACUUAGAUUUUGAUUAGCAAUUUAUAAUCACGAACGUGUCAUUUUAAAAAUGAGCUCAUGGCUGGUUUACAAGACGUUUAUGAUAAUUAUACAUACGCAGGUAUUUUAUUGAAGUUCAAUUCAUCAACUUAAGUCCUAAAGAGUAAAGGGAGUUAAUCAGUUUCACUAAUAGUUUUAGACCCAAUUCUCAACGGUGGAAAUAUGCACUUUCACAUUAUAUGGUUGUUACAACUAUUCAAGUCUUCAUUAUAUAGAACGAUUUCAUUAGACUGCACACAUUUAAAAACAAAAUGGUCGCAAAAUGUCGAUCGCCCCACAAGUUGCGAAAUGCAAAUCUACCUUAAAAUACCGGGUGUCCCCCCAAAAAACUGGACACUAUUUGAUUUCAUGUAACGUAAAAGCUAUAAAAGCGAUAAUGCAUUCAGAAAUGACUAACUUCGAUUUUGAUAUAUAGCACUUGAAUUUACAUGCAAUAUUGACUGCGCUAUUGAUGUUUGAACGUUGAACUACUGUUUUUGAAAAUGCAAAAAAUGAGCAUAAAACAACACUUAUAAUUAUAACUACUGAUGUAGUUAUAAUUGUUAAUUUUU